Molecule: ribosomal RNA, 264 nt
Filed under: uncultured Eubacteriales bacterium
Lineage: Bacteria; Bacillati; Bacillota; Clostridia; Eubacteriales
Description: uncultured Clostridiales bacterium partial 16S ribosomal RNA
Rfam family: Bacterial small subunit ribosomal RNA
Source: RNAcentral
UGAAUCUGGAUUCCCAUCUAGUGGCAGACGGGUGAGUAACACGUGGGUGACCUACCUUUUCGUUGGGGACAACAGUUGGAAACGACUGCUAAUACCGCAUGAUACAUUUGGGUGGCAUCAUCUGAAUGUCAAAGAUUUAUCGCUGAAAGAUGGCCUCGCGUCUGAUUAGCUAGUUGGUGAGGUAACGGCCCACCAAGGCGACGAUCAGUAGCCGGACUGAGAGGUUGAACGGCCACACUGGAACUGAGACACGGUCCAGACUCC